AACGAACGCUGGCGGCAUGCCUAACACAUGCAAGUCGAACGAGACCUUCGGGUCUAGUGGCGCACGGGUGCGUAACGCGUGGGAACCUGCCCUUAGGUUCGGAAUAACUCCCCGAAAGGGGUGCUAAUACCGGAUAAUGUCUUCCGACCAAAGAUUUAUCGCCUUUGGAUGGGCCCGCGUUGGAUUAGCUAGUUGGUAGGGUAAAAGCCUACCAAGGCGACGAUCCAUAGCUGGUCUGAGAGGAUGAUCAGCCACACUGGGACUGAGACACGGCCCAGACUCCUACGGGAGGCAGCAGUGGGGAAUAUUGGACAAUGGGGGAAAGCCUGAUCCAGCAAUGCCGCGUGAGUGAUGAAGGCCUUAGGGUUGUAAAGCUCUUUUACCCGGGAUGAUAAUGACAGUACCGGGAGAAUAAGCUCCGGCUAACUCCGUG
RNAcentral lists this ribosomal RNA (433 nucleotides) under uncultured bacterium. Its description in RNAcentral is "partial 16S ribosomal RNA". It matches the Rfam family "Bacterial small subunit ribosomal RNA", at positions 29 to 507 of the family's 1533-position model. The record is from RNAcentral.